Molecule: long non-coding RNA, 3735 nt
Organism: Gallus gallus (chicken)
Lineage: Eukaryota; Metazoa; Chordata; Aves; Galliformes; Phasianidae
Exons: 3
Source: RefSeq, a predicted model, not a curated record
CUUGUCCUGUCAGGGAGAGAAGCUGGUGGUGCGUAGACAGCAGAGGGGAUGUUUGUGCUGAAGGAUGCUCUUUCACUGACUCUCUUUUGCAGAGUGCUGGCUGACGGUGGUGUCAGAGCACAGGCAAACCAUGCAUCUGGUGCACGUUUUCAAGGGGAGGUGGUUCAUGUGAGGGUGGGCAGCCCCCGCCAGACUGCACCAUGAACACGGAACAUCUAUACUGUGCUUGGGGUUGCUCCAGAAGUGUAAAGACCAGAGACAUCCCCUUGUUCUAGAGUCACUCUGCAGUGCCCAAGCUCACAUCAGGAGCAGGCAUUGGGCACAUCCAGAAAGCAUGGUCUGGAGGGCAACGGGGGGACCAUCGCUGGAUGUGGAUGAUGCCAACACGCUGAGUUUGUGGCCCAACUGCUCACCUUUCUCCCACAGGAACUUUGGCCCCGCCAGGCAUUUCUGAGCAUCACCAGGAGACAGACCCUACUGCAGCCACCACCACGGCAGCCAGAGUAACAGCGAGGAGGAAUCCCAGCCCCUAACUCAGCAUGUUUUCUGCUCAGGACAGAGAACAUCCUGAGCUCUCAGAGGGGAGCUCAGAGGAACGUGGUGCACUUCCAGAGAUAUCCUUGGUUGUUUUGUUGCAAUUUUCCCAGCUCCAGCCUGUUGCCAGCCAAGGGAAGCUCUCGCACACACAGCUGUGAAUUGGCACCUUCCCCCCGUUGCCCUGCCACAGCACCAAAUUGCUGUGUGGAUGAGGUCCCUCCUGUGAAGCAGCUGCAGAAAGAAGGCUUCACAAUAAACAACUGCAGCCGUUUGCAGACAUCCGCCAAAACUUCUGGGGGAUUUUUGCAGGGCUUUUCCUGUGCUCAGCUGCCUGUUCCUGUGCAGCAGCACUGUAGGCUGCACUGAAGCAAAGGCAGAGGCAGCCCUCCUCCAGCUUCCUAUUGCACACAUGCCACGGGCGUGAGAGCUGACAGGUUGUGUGAAUGAAGAGGCAGUGUUUUAAACAACAGAUGAGUGAAGAUUACGCAUUCAAACCCUGAUCCAGUCAUGCGUGGGCAAUUAUGAUAAUUAAAAGAAUUAGAUGUUAAUGCAGAACGGGGGGAAGAUCACACCUGAAGUGCCAAUUAAGGGCUCUCCUCAUGGCAGCCACCUGCCCAAGAGCUCCCCUACUGCUUUCCCAUCCCUUACCGCCUUUCCCAUCCAGCAGUGCCGCCCCGUGCUGCAGCCCGGCUGCUCCAGGAAGGCACUGAAGUCCGUCGUUCUGAUCCCACAGCAGCUCCAGUACUUCAUCCUGGGGGGAGCAGGGCUGCCUGAGCGGGGAGCCGGAGCCCACAGGGACAGGACUGCACAGACCACUCCCAGCACGUGGCAGGGUCCCUUCCCCACAUGGCUUGGAGUCGAGCAUAUAGGAAAGCAGCUCAUACACCAUCCCUACCUACUGCCCUGCUGUGCAAUGGGUGAGUAACAGUCUGGGAGAGGAAUUUACAUUUUCAUCAUAUUUUCCUCACCCAAACUGAAUGUAAAUGAGGAGCAGCACACUGAUAAUGCAGCACUAUCACAAUCCAGUCAUAGACAAUACUAUGAAUCCAAGAUAAGACUGAAAUGCUGGCCCUGUGGCUCAGCCUUAUCACUCUAUUUCCAUUCCUCAAGCUCUCUCGUCUGCCAGUUAAGACAGUGCUACUGCACAGGCUCUUCCUUCCAGCAGGAGAAGAGCAGAGGAUUGCUCAGCUUGGAAGAUACCUCACGAAGUCCCCAGUCCAUCCCCCUGCUCCAAGCUGAGUCAGCUGGGAGGGCAGAUCAGGUCAGACACAGCUUCAGCCCAUGUGGUCUAAAAAACACCCAAGGACUGGAAUGCACUGACUCAGCAACUCAAACAAAGCACCUGGCCAGGACAAAGUUUCCUAAAAAACCAUACAUUUUUCUGGCCAUUGGAGAAGCAGCCUAUUGCUUUUGGUCUAGGUGGUCUUAUCCCAACAUGCUGAUCUUAACACAUUUCCCAUUGCUUUUUUCUUUUUUCUUUAGAACGACUGUUAGGAGCUGCUCAAGAUGAACAAACCUGCUGCUGUUUCAGCAGCUGACUGGAAGAGCUGCCCUGCGAGAGGAUCAAUCCUCUGUCUGAAGGACAGGAAUGACAGAUGCCACCAAAGCAAUUAUCUGUUGUAAAGCCCUGCAGCAAAGCCCUCAAUGCAUACCACCAAAGCUUGAAUUCCCAAGCAGUAUCCCUCCUUCCCAGUACAGCUACCAGGUCAUCCCCACACCCACACUAUUUGCUGCACUAGACUGAACUUCCCUUGGAAAAUAAGGAAGUUCCCAAAGUUGCAAGCUGCAGACAUUGCCCACCACAGCAUUAUUUUCAUAGGAACAGUAACAGCCAAAUCACUGCAAGCAGUUCAAUUCCUUCACCUUGCCAAGGCAGCCCUCACCACAAUAACUGCGUGCAGACUGAGCUCAAUGGUUCCUGAAUUAAACCUGACACCCCCAACAACUCCUACAGAACACUGAAGCAACACCUUACCUCACAUUUGUAACAAGCCAGAAUGUGCACAGUUACCAUUCACCACUGAAAUUAUUAAUGCAACAAUCAUAAUUCCUGUCUAAAUAUCCUGAUUUUUCAUUUUAUCUCAGUACUAUCUCAAUGUCCCUUAGGAUCAGUUAUUAUUCUAAGAAGCAUUUUUCCUCUGCUCCUAUGGAAAUGUAGCAAACAGACUUCUUGCAAGCUAGCUGCAGCAUGCACAGUGACAAGUCUGUACAUUUCAGAGCAACAGAUUUCAGCUCAUAUCAGCACUGGAAUUACAUUCCUUCAUCAGUUCAUUUCUCAUGUCACUAUUACUGAAGCAGACAGGUUGUGGGUUUCCUACGCAAGAAAAAACAAUCCAACUUUUAUAAUCUUUUGCAAAGGAUUUGUAAUGAAUGGAACUUCUCAGAUUUCCAUUAGCUGUGUUUAAAAAUUAAAUCUGCAUUCAGAAUUCUCCCUAGGGCUUCCUCUUUGUAACUCAGCAGUGACAUAUCCUCAGCUGUGAGGAUGCCUGAAGUUUCCAAUUGUUUGAGGUCUGUAUAAGUGAGGACAAUUGGAGGCAAACGGGGUGCAAAGCUGAGCUGUGCUCACAGGGAUUGGGAGACCCACCCUUCACUCUGACCAAUCAAGCACUUAAACUUUCUUUGCCCUACAAGAAGAGUCACACAGACCUUUUGUAAAUAUAUGCAGUUUAAAAAUAAAUUCAAUAUAAAAACUAAAAAGAGCAAAUACGUAAGUACAGCCUCCAAUGAUUCUUUGCUCCUCAGUUCCUAAGCAAAUUAUCUGAACUCAUUUUUGCAUCCUCAUUAUUACCAUAAUCAUUUCAGCUUAUUAGCAUGGGAACUUAUUGUUUUCAAAAACGAGUUAUGGACAGAACACUCCUGAAAGCUCAGCUUUAUGCUUCGAGAUUCAACAUCUCCAAAUAUUCUCAGAGUGCUUCUCAAUAUGCCAUUUAAAAAAUGACCACAAAUUACUGCUAGGGUCCUUCUAACAAAGGGUUUUAGCAUUAGCUAUCUUCAAAGUAACGUAAGAAGGAUGACGUGGUUUAAUCCUCAAGAACACCAACAAAUAGCAAGGCAAGAUGAACUUGUACAGAUCUCAGCAGCAGCUAGGUAUUGGGGCUGGGGGGGCAACAACCCUGAACAGCACAGUGCUCAACAAGUGAAACAACAUCAUGUACGUUUAAGAGGUGUGCACAAGCAGCAGCUGGGGAUGCAUUACCA